Molecule: ribosomal RNA, 460 nt
Filed under: uncultured bacterium
Lineage: Bacteria
Description: partial 16S ribosomal RNA
Rfam family: Bacterial small subunit ribosomal RNA
Source: RNAcentral
CCUACGGGUGGCAGCAGUGAGGAAUAUUGGUCAAUGGGCGGAAGCCUGAACCAGCAAAGUCGCGUGAGGGAGUAAGGCCCUACGGGUCGUAAACCUCUUUUGCAGAGGAGCAGUGCCCAGGUAGUGAGCUGGGAGGGAGCGUACACGGCGAAAAAGCAUCGGCUAACUACGUGCCAGCAGCCGGGGUAAUACGGAGGAUGCGAGCGUUAUCCGGAUUUAUUGGGUUUAAAGGGUGCGUAGGCGGGCCUUCAGGCCGGCGGUAAAAUUGCUGGGCUCAAACCCGCCGAGCCGUCGGAACCGGGGGCCUUGAGUACCGGAGAGGUACGUGGAAUGCGUGGUGUAGCGGUGAAAUGCAUAGAUAUCACGCAGAACCCCGAUUGCGAAGGCAGCGUACCGGCCGGUCACUGACGCUGAGGCACGAAAGCGCGGGUAUCGAACAGGAUUAGAUACCCCUGUAGUC